UUCCGGUUGAUCCUGCCGGAGGUCACUGCUAUUGGGAUUCGACUAAGCCAUGCGAGUCGAGAGGGUUCGGCCCUCGGCUGACGGCUCAGUAACACGUGGAUAAUCUGCCCUUAGGUGGAGGAUACCCUCGGGAAACUGAGAAUAAUACUCCAUAGGUCUAGGAUGCUGGAAUGCAUCUAGACUGAAAACUCCGGUGCCUAAGGAUGAGUCUGCGGACUAUCAGGUUGUAGUCAGGGUAAAGACCUGACUAGCCUACGACGGAUACGGGUUGUGAGAGCAAUAACCCGGAGAUGAUAUCUGAGACACGAUAUCAGGCCCUACGGGGCGCAGCAGGCGCGAAAACUUCACACUGUGCGAAAGCACGAUGAGGGAAUCCCAAGUGCCAGCUCGUAAGAGUUGGCUGUUUUUCUGUUUAAAGUGCAGAGAGAGUAAGAGCUGGGUAAGACGGGUGCCAGCCGCCGCGGUAAUACCUGCAGCUCAAGUGGUGACCGUUAUUAUUGGGCCUAAAACGUUCGUAGCCGGUUUAGUAAAUGCCUGGGUAAAUCGUGUAGCUUAACUAUACGAAUUCUGGGUAGACUGCUAAACUUGAGACCGGGAGAGGCUAGAGGUACUCCUGGGGUAGAGGUGAAAUUCUGUAAUCCUGGGGGGACCACCAGUGGCGAAGGCGUCUAGCUAGAACGGGUCUGACGGUGAGGGACGAAGCCCUGGGGCGCAAACCGGAUUAGAUACCCGGGUAGUCCAGGGUGUAAACGCUGCUUGCUUGAUGUUAGUCGGGCUCCGAGCCCGAUUAGUGUUCGGAGAGAAGUUGUUAAGCAAGCUGCCUGGGAAGUACGGUCGCAAGACUGAAACUUUAAAGGAAUUGGCGGGGGAGCACAGCAACGGGGUGGAGCCGUGCGGUUUAAUUGGCAGUCAACGC
This 916-nucleotide ribosomal RNA is filed under the name uncultured archaeon. Its description in RNAcentral is "bacterial SSU rRNA". It matches the Rfam family "Archaeal small subunit ribosomal RNA", at positions 1 to 918 of the family's 1478-position model. The record is from RNAcentral.